RNA transcript from Prionailurus viverrinus (fishing cat), 3329 nucleotides. It is a transcript of the gene named Yip1 domain family member 7, with no coding region annotated. The record is from RefSeq and is a predicted model, not a curated record. Lineage: Eukaryota; Metazoa; Chordata; Mammalia; Carnivora; Felidae. The transcript has 2 exons.
UUAGAUGAAAUUAAUUUAAACUAUAAUAUUUCUCAAAUUUUAAAAUCUGCUAAUUUAAAAAAUCAUAGUAGACAUUCUAACCUCAUUUUAAGCUCAUCUUCUCCAAAGUGUAUGUUCAUUAAGAAAUAUAUAAAUAACAGUGUGAUAGCAAAAAGGAUGCAACAUGGAAGUUGAAACGCACAUGAUUUACUCACCAUUAACCAGUCAAAUUCUUUUCAAACUAGGGAUAGCAACUGUCAACCUGACUGUCAAAUGAGUGAAAAAAUAUCCUUAUUAUCCCAGUGUAGACCAAUGUCUGGCCAACCUUUUGAAAAUGUCUAGGUCCCUGUUAGAGCAAGACCCCUCUUAUGUCAUGGAAGUCAUUAAAAGUCCAUCUGGUAUUCUGUGUAUAGAAUGUCAGAUAUGCAAGAUGUUAGGUGUUAUGUGCUGCUGUAAAAGAAGUUGAACUAUGCCCUAUAUGUGAUCAAAGACAGUUACUAAAUCCUAGGAAGGGAAGUUGAAUGCCACGUACAGAUGAUUUAGGGAGAGAAUCCUUCACAUGGGAGAAUUGAACUUAAUUUAAAAAAAUACAGCUAUUAUGAAAUGAGAUGCACAUUGAGAACCAUAGCUAUAUUAUUAAAACUAAAGGGUUUUUUUUUGGCUUUUGUUUUUUGUUUGUUUGUUUUGUAUGUGGUAUGUGUGUGUGGGCAGGCAUGUGCACUUGCCUUUAUACCAGUCUCUUCCUAUUUUUCCCACCCUCAGCCCCUAGCAACCACUUUUCUACUGUUUCUAUGCAUUUGACUUCUUUUCUCCUUGACUUUAGAAUCCACAUAUAAGUGAUUCUGUACAGUAUUUGUCUUUGUCAUAAUGCCCUCAAGGCCCAUCUAUGUUGUUGCAAAUGGCAGGGUUUCCUUCUUUCUCAUAAAUGAAUAUUCCGUUGUAUGUAUGUAUCACGUAUGAUCAUAUGUUUGAUAGAUCUAUCCAUUCAUCCAUUGACGGACACUUAGAUUGUGUCCAUAUCUUGGGUAUUGUGAAAAAUGUUGCAUUGAUCAUGGGAGCAUAGAUCUCUUUGAGAUACUGUUAUCAUUGCCUUUGGAUAUAUAUCCAGAAGUGGGAUUGCUGGAUCAAAUAGUAGUUCUAUUUUUUUUCUCUUUUUUUCUUUUUUCUUUGUUUAAACUGGCCAGGUUCAGUGUUCAGGUCAUAGCCUCUCUCUGCCAUGCAUUGCUGCCCUGGGGAUGUAUCCACUGGGCUCCUUGCUGUAGCCACUGCCUCCAGAAGCCCGUGCCCUCCAGCUGUAGGUAGACCUGUGGCCAGCUGGCCUGGUGAGCAGCCACAGUGGGAGCAGUGGAAACGCCAGAGCCCUAUUUUCCUUUUUUUUUUUUUUAAUUUUUGAGGAAACUCCAUACUGUUUUCCACAGUGGCUGCAUGAAUCUACAUUACCACCAACAAUGCAGAAGGGUUCCCUUUUCCCCACAUCCUCACAAACACGUGUUAUUUCUAAUCUUUCUGAUAAUAGCAUUCUAUUAUCAAAUAGAUAAUAGGUGUUAGGUGAUACCUUUUUGUGGCUUUAAUUUGAAUUUCCCUGGUGGUUAGUGACAUUGAGCGCCUUGUCAUGUACCUGUUGGCCAUUUGCAUGCAUGUCCUCUUAGGAAAAAUGUCUAUUCAGAUCCUCUGCCAAGUUUUUAAUUAGAUUGCUUGUUUUAGGGAGGAAAGCAUGGGGUCCUGAGUCAGAUUCUUCAGUGUUAAAACCUAGAUUUCUGUUACUAGCUCUGUGGCUUUGGACAAAUUACUUAAUAUUUCAAAACCUCAGCUACCUGAUGCACAAACUAGGAAUAAAAUAAUAGUACUAGCUUCAUUACAUGUCUGAGAGACCAAUGCGUACAAAUCUUGUAGAGCUCACAGCAAAAUUCAGUGAAAGCAUUCAAUAAAAAAAAAAAAAACACACAUUUAACUCUUUUUAGUUGAAAUGCAUGUUCUUUACUGUAUUUUAUUUCUAGUUUUUCUGGGUCUCUGCCUUACUCUUAUUCAAAUUUAUAAUGAUACAAGCAGGGUAACCAGCUUGAUUAUUGGUUCUUAAAUAGUAAAGUCAUGUUAUCCUUUUUUAAUGUUUUGUUUUUUUCUACUCAGGAUACAUCUUAAAGUUUAUAGAGGUGAUGAGAAAAGAAACUAAUGUGGUGUAAAUAUUUAUUUCUGUAUUCAGUGAAUGUCGAAUGGCUGGGUGGAUUUAUUUUGUUUUUUAAAUAAAAAUGAUGUAAGAGAAUCAGGAUCUAGCAGAAAGGUCUGUGAGGUGGCAGUCAGAAUUAUUUGAAAACAAGGUAUUGGGGAAAAAUAGAUAUUUCUAAAUGAGUUUGGACUUAUGGACACUGAGCCCCACAGAUUUUGGAUAUUUUAUUCUACCACCACCACUCAUAAAAGGGAAAGGUUAACUUGUCUCAAGAAUUUAAUCUGUGAGUACAUAAACUCAACCACAGUAGCACUGACCUUAUGAAAAUAUGGGUGCAAGGAGUCAUUCCACUUUCUCCUCUGUGGAGUUUUAGGCAGUUAGCGUAGAAUUACUCUUCUCAUUAGGCGGGGCGGAAGUAAAAUCCCAGAUCUGGGCUAAAUAUCUUUAGUUUAGAUAAUGCUGCUAAUUGAAAAAUUAUACCAUGUUUGGUAUAAGCAUGAUAUGAUUUCAGAAGUAUUAUCAAGGGAAAAUAGGGAAAAAGGAAAUAUGUAAAUAGGCAAUAGAAUAGGACCUUUGGUCUGUUAGCUACCAUUUUAUUUUUUUUACUGUAGAACAUCUGUUUUGCAAUAUUCAGACUUUAAGCUUAUAUUUAGUGCAUAAGGCAGGGAAAUUUUUUCUGUGAUGUAAUUAUUUAUCUAAAAUAUAUCUUUUAACUCAUUGGGAACAAAAAAAUCUUUUUUUGUUAUUUUUGUUUUUGAAUUACUAUAUAUGACAUAGAACUUUAGAUUUUGAAAAUACAAUGAUCAAAGUGCUAAGUAAAUUAAUCAGAUAUGUUAAAUUUAAUUAAAUAAUAUUAUUCAUAUUUAUAAAAUGUUAUAGUACCUCUUUUUUUUUCUUUUUGCAGAACUUGGAAUUAAUUUUAAUCACAUAUGGCAAAAAACUUUGACCGUGUUAAACCCACUGAAGCCAGCAGAUGGCAGCAUUAUGAAUGAAACGGACCUCACUGGGCCCAUCCUGUUUUGUGUCACUCUGGGAGCCACCUUGCUUCUGGGGCACCUUUGGAACUGUGUUGGCACUGGUCAUCGUUGGCUGGUGUAGUCUCUCAGCUUCCAAAAUCUUCAUUUCAGCCUUGAACAUGGAAGGACAGCAGCUUCUCAUUGCCUACCCUUGUGCCUUACUUUAUGGA